UGGACCUGAAUCUUUGAGAAUGAC
RNAcentral lists this non-coding RNA (24 nucleotides) under Arabidopsis thaliana (thale cress). Lineage: Eukaryota; Viridiplantae; Streptophyta; Magnoliopsida; Brassicales; Brassicaceae. The record is from RNAcentral.